RNAcentral lists this ribosomal RNA (371 nucleotides) under uncultured Pseudomonas sp. Its description in RNAcentral is "bacterial SSU rRNA". It matches the Rfam family "Bacterial small subunit ribosomal RNA", at positions 1011 to 1382 of the family's 1533-position model. Lineage: Bacteria; Pseudomonadati; Pseudomonadota; Gammaproteobacteria; Pseudomonadales; Pseudomonadaceae. The record is from RNAcentral.
UUGGUGCCUUCGGGAACUCUGACACAGGUGCUGCAUGGCUGUCGUCAGCUCGUGCGUGAGAUGUUGGGUUAAGUCCCGUAACGAGCGCAACCCUUGUCCUUAGUUACCAGCACGUUAUGGUGGGCACUCUAAGGAGACUGCCGGUGACAAACCGGAGGAAGGUGGGGAUGACGUCAAGUCAUCAUGGCCCUUACGGCCUGGGCUACACACGUGCUACAAUGGUCGGUACAAAGGGUUGCCAAGCCGCGAGGUGGAGCUAAUCCCAUAAAACCGAUCGUAGUCCGGAUCGCAGUCUGCAACUCGACUGCGUGAAGUCGGAAUCGCUAGUAAUCGUGAAUCAGAAUGUCACGGUGAAUACGUUCCCGGGCCUU